UUUCUCAAUACAAUUCAAACCCAAAUCAGAGAUUAUUCUCUAUACCAAACAACACUUUAACCCCUCUCACAUGACAACUCUGGCCCUCUCCUUUCUGACUCGAUUGAAGUCCUUACCCUUGAGGCUUCAGCGCUGAAUUUUGAUUUUAAACAUGAUUUUAACCUUUCAGCCUUGCCACACGCGAUGUCACUCCUCAGAACACAAAUUUUGAUUUUGAACACGGGUUUUGGGAGAUUUUUUCAAAGAGAACCUUCAAACAUUGAUUCAGUAUUGAAUUCUUAAAAAUUAAUUUGAAUGAUCUUCCAUUAAAUCAUUCCGAAUUGGGACCAAUUUCAUCUUAUAACCCCAAUCGAAAAGAUGAAACUAGACAAGACUAUUUACCUAGAUAUCUAUGUCAACCAAUAGGGCAUGAUUUUCCACAAGACGUCUUAAAUCAGAUCGGUUUCAACAACAUGUAAAUUAGUUAGAAUAAACUCAUAAAGUGUCAAAAUAGAUGGAGCAUAUUGCUUGUAUUGUUACUUUGUAAAGUUAUACUAAGUAAUGCUUCGGUGAAUAGACAAAUGAUAGCCCCAACAAUCCAAAAGACGUUGUAAUUGUAAUGCUUCGGGGAAUAGACAAAUGAUAGCCCCAACAAUCCAAAAGACGUUCUAAUUAUAACGUUGAACAAUAGUUCUUUCAACAAGUUCGGUCGAAGAUGUAAUGCAACACUUUCAAACGAUGAAAUCUCGUAACGAACAACUAUAGGUCGUUUUUUAUAAUUGGUAAAGAUGAUCGUAUUUAUAUUAUGUGUUUUUAAAAUUCUAAUGACAUUGUUAUCUUUACUAUUGUAUUGUAUUUUUAUUAUGUGACCAAUCUAACCCAACCCAAAUCGUUGAAUCAACCCUUAAUUUUUAUGUCAAGUUCUAAGAAAUUGGAGCAUCUAAAAACAGUGACUCCAUUAGAAUAGAUUCCUGGAUUCGCUCGUGUUUAAGGGGGUUAAAGUGUAAGUUUCAUAAUCAUGCUUAAGGGGCUUGUAUAAUAGUGCUUAUUCCAUUUGUACCUUAAAAAAAUAAUAUCUUAUUCCAUUUGUACUUUAAAAAAAUAAUAUGACCAAUAGUUUUGUGUGGGACACCGAUAACAUAAAUUAAUGGUCUAUAUUUUUGUGGGUGUUACAAUUGGAAUGUGUUGGUGCUUUGAAUAGUAUGUGGAAAGUUUGAUCGAAAUUCUUGGUUAUGGAUUCUCUUGCGUCAUUCCAUUAGAAAGAUAUGUGUUCUUACAAAUAUUACGGGGACCUACAUAUGUCUCAUUAGCAUUAAUAGAUCGAUUACGAUACUAUUUCACCUUCAUUGACAAGUACAUUAGAAAGGCACAUAUUAAUUUAAUGUGUGUGUACAUUUAAGAAGUGCGGAGUUGUUAAAAAUAGACUCGGGGCUGAAUAACUGAAUUCGAAUUUGUUUUUUUUAACCGAUUCGAUUCGAAUAUUCGAAUCCAAAUGAUUUGGGUGAACAGGAAUCGUAACCUAAACGUCAAUUGGGUGGCCUUGUUUCAAAACCCAGUCAUGAUUUUCUAGUUGUUCUGAUUUUUCUGGCUAGUAUCUUGCUAGUCGUUUUUAUGUAUAUAAUAUUUCAGACUUCAGAUAUUCAUA
Molecule: long non-coding RNA, 1624 nt
Filed under: Helianthus annuus (common sunflower)
Lineage: Eukaryota; Viridiplantae; Streptophyta; Magnoliopsida; Asterales; Asteraceae
Description: sRNA HanXRQr2_Chr04g0156721
Source: RNAcentral